Molecule: ribosomal RNA, 396 nt
Filed under: uncultured bacterium
Lineage: Bacteria
Description: partial 16S ribosomal RNA
Rfam family: Bacterial small subunit ribosomal RNA
Source: RNAcentral
AACAUUGCACAAUGGGGGAAACCGUGAUGCAGCGACGCCGCGAGAGUGAAGAAGUAUUUCGGUAUGUAAAGCUCUAGCAGCAGGGAAGAAAAUGCAGGUACCUGACUAAGCAGCCCCGGCUAACUACGUGACACCAGCCGCGGUAAUACGUAGGGGGCAAGCGUUAUCCGGAUUUACUGGGUGUAAAGGGAGCGUAGGUGGUUGGGUAAGUCAGAUGUGAAAGCCCGGGGCUCAACCCCGGGACUGCAUUUGAAACUAUCAAACUAGAGUGCAGGAGAGGUAAGUGGAAUUCCUAGUGUAGCGGUGAAAUGCGUAGAUAUUAGGAGGAACACCAGUGGCGAAGGCGGCUUACUGGACUGUAACUGACACUGAGGCGCGAAAGCGUGGGGAGCAAAC